This 713-nucleotide ribosomal RNA is filed under the name uncultured bacterium. RNAcentral describes it as "bacterial SSU rRNA". It matches the Rfam family "Bacterial small subunit ribosomal RNA", at positions 1 to 716 of the family's 1533-position model. The record is from RNAcentral.
CCCUUAGAGUUUGAUCCUGGCUCAGAAUGAACGCUGGCGGCGUGCUUUACACAUGCAAGUCGAGCGAGGCCGGUAGCUUGCUACCGAGUCGAGCGGCGAACGGGUGAGUAACGCGUGGAUACCUGCCUCUGGAUGGGGGAUAACCCGGGGAAACCCGGACUAAUACCGCAUAAUAUUGAGAGAUCAAAGGGGGCCGCAAGGCUCCUGUCUGGAGAGGGGUCCGCGUACGAUUAGCUAGUUGGUAGGGUAAUGGCCUACCAAGGCGACGAUCGUUAGCCGGCCUGAGAGGGUGAUCGGCCACACUGGAACUGAGACACGGUCCAGACUCCUACGGGAGGCAGCAGUGGGGAAUUUUGCGCAAUGGGCGAAAGCCUGACGCAGCAACGCCGCGUGGAGGAUGAAGGCCCUUGGGUUGUAAACUCCUGUCAGCAGGGAAAAAGGAGGUCGGGUUAAUACCCUGGCCGCUUGAUUGUACCUGCAGAGGAAGCCCCGGCUAACUCUGUGCCAGCAGCCGCGGUAAUACAGAGGGGGCGAGCGUUAUUCGGAAUUAUUGGGCGUAAAGGGCGCGUAGGUGGCCAAGUAAGCGGAAGGUGAAAUCCCUCGGCUCAACCGAGGAACUGCCCUCCGAACUGCGAGGCUUGAGUCCGGGAGAGGUGAGUGGAAUUCCCAGUGUAGCGGUGAAAUGCGUAGAUAUUGGGAGGAACACCAGUGGC